UGUUGCCUCGGCGGGGUCACGCCCCGGGUGCGUCGCAGCCCCGGAACCAGGCGCCCGCCGGAGGAACCAACCAAACUCUUUCUGUACUCCCCUCGCGGACGUAUUUCUUACAGCUCUGAGCAAAAAUUCAAAAUGAAUCAAAACUUUCAACAACGGAUCUCUUGGUUCUGGCAUCGAUCAAGAACGCAGCGAAAUGCGAUAAGUAAUGUGAAUUGCAGAAUUCAGUGAAUCAUCGAAUCUUUGAACGCACAUUGCGCCCGCCAGUAUUCUGGCGGGCAUGCCUGUCCGAGCGUCAUUUCAACCCUCGAACCCCUCCGGGGGAUCGGCGUUGGGGAUCGGGACCCCUCACACGGGUGCCGGCCCCGAAAUACAGUGGCGGUCUCGCCGCAGCCUCUCCUGCGCAGUAGUUUGCACAACUCGCACCGGGAGCGCGGCGCGUCCACGUCCGUAAAACACCCAACUUUCAGAAAUGUUGACCUCGGAUCAGGUAGGAAUACCCGCUGUACUUUAGCAUAUCAAUAUGCCGGAGGA
Molecule: ribosomal RNA, 531 nt
Filed under: Trichoderma asperellum
Lineage: Eukaryota; Fungi; Ascomycota; Sordariomycetes; Hypocreales; Hypocreaceae
Description: eukaryotic LSU rRNA
Rfam family: 5.8S ribosomal RNA (bases 142-295)
Source: RNAcentral